GAUGAACGCUGGCGGCGUGCCUAAUACAUGCAAGUCGAGCGAACGGACGAGAAGCUUGCUUCUCUGAUGUUAGCGGCGGACGGGUGAGUAGCACGUGGAUAACCUACCUAUAAGACUGGGAUAACUUCGGGAAACCGUAGCUAAUACCGGAUAAUAUUUUGAACCGCAUGGUUCAAAAGUGAAAGACGGUCUUGCUGUCACUUAUAGAUGGAUCCGCGCUGCAUUAGCUAGUUGGUAAGGUAACGGCUUACCAAGGCAACGAUGCAUAGCCGACCUGAGAGGGUGAUCGGCCACACUGGAACUGAGACACGGUCCAGACUCCUACGGGAGGCAGCAGUAGGGAAUCUUCCGCAAUGGGCGAAAGCCUGACGGAGCAACGACGCGUGAGUGAUGAAGGUCUUCGGAUCGUAAAACUCUGUUAUUAGGGAAGAACAUAUGUGUAAGUAACUGUGCACAUCUUGACGGUACCUAAUCAGAAAGCCACGGCUAACUACGUG
Molecule: ribosomal RNA, 497 nt
Filed under: uncultured bacterium
Lineage: Bacteria
Description: partial 16S ribosomal RNA
Rfam family: Bacterial small subunit ribosomal RNA
Source: RNAcentral